RNAcentral lists this ribosomal RNA (2910 nucleotides) under Bacillus cereus. RNAcentral describes it as "bacterial LSU rRNA". It matches the Rfam family "Bacterial large subunit ribosomal RNA". The record is from RNAcentral. Lineage: Bacteria; Bacillati; Bacillota; Bacilli; Caryophanales; Bacillaceae. RNAcentral also lists the same sequence under 2 other names.
GAAAGGGCGCACGGUGGAUGCCUUGACACUAGGAGUCGAUGAAGGACGGGACUAACGCCGAUAUGCUUCGGGGAGCUGUAAGUAAGCUUUGAUCCGAAGAUUUCCGAAUGGGGAAACCCACCAUACGUAAUGGUAUGGUAUCCUUAUCUGAAUACAUAGGGUAAGGAAGACAGACCCAGGGAACUGAAACAUCUAAGUACCUGGAGGAAGAGAAAGCAAAUGCGAUUUCCUGAGUAGCGGCGAGCGAAACGGAACAUAGCCCAAACCAAGAGGCUUGCCUCUUGGGGUUGUAGGACAUUCUAUACGGAGUUACAAAGGAACGAGGUAGACGAAGCGACCUGGAAAGGUCCGUCGUAGAGGGUAACAACCCCGUAGUCGAAACUUCGUUCUCUCUUGAAUGUAUCCUGAGUACGGCGGAACACGUGAAAUUCCGUCGGAAUCUGGGAGGACCAUCUCCCAAGGCUAAAUACUCCCUAGUGAUCGAUAGUGAACCAGUACCGUGAGGGAAAGGUGAAAAGCACCCCGGAAGGGGAGUGAAAGAGAUCCUGAAACCGUGUGCCUACAAAUAGUCAGAGCCCGUUAACGGGUGAUGGCGUGCCUUUUGUAGAAUGAACCGGCGAGUUACGAUCCCGUGCGAGGUUAAGCUGAAGAGGCGGAGCCGCAGCGAAAGCGAGUCUGAAUAGGGCGUUUAGUACGUGGUCGUAGACCCGAAACCAGGUGAUCUACCCAUGUCCAGGGUGAAGUUCAGGUAACACUGAAUGGAGGCCCGAACCCACGCACGUUGAAAAGUGCGGGGAUGAGGUGUGGGUAGCGGAGAAAUUCCAAUCGAACCUGGAGAUAGCUGGUUCUCCCCGAAAUAGCUUUAGGGCUAGCCUUAAGUGUAAGAGUCUUGGAGGUAGAGCACUGAUUGGACUAGGGGUCCUCAUCGGAUUACCGAAUUCAGUCAAACUCCGAAUGCCAAUGACUUAUCCUUAGGAGUCAGACUGCGAGUGAUAAGAUCCGUAGUCAAAAGGGAAACAGCCCAGACCGCCAGCUAAGGUCCCAAAGUGUGUAUUAAGUGGAAAAGGAUGUGGAGUUGCUUAGACAACUAGGAUGUUGGCUUAGAAGCAGCCACCAUUUAAAGAGUGCGUAAUAGCUCACUAGUCGAGUGACUCUGCGCCGAAAAUGUACCGGGGCUAAAUACACCACCGAAGCUGCGGAUUGAUACCAAUGGUAUCAGUGGUAGGGGAGCGUUCUAAGGACAGUGAAGUCAGACCGGAAGGACUGGUGGAGUGCUUAGAAGUGAGAAUGCCGGUAUGAGUAGCGAAAGACGGGUGAGAAUCCCGUCCACCGAAUGCCUAAGGUUUCCUGAGGAAGGCUCGUCCGCUCAGGGUUAGUCAGGACCUAAGCCGAGGCCGACAGGCGUAGGCGAUGGACAACAGGUUGAUAUUCCUGUACCACCUCUUUAUCGUUUGAGCAAUGGAGGGACGCAGAAGGAUAGAAGAAGCGUGCGAUUGGUUGUGCACGUCCAAGCAGUUAGGCUGAUAAGUAGGCAAAUCCGCUUAUCGUGAAGGCUGAGCUGUGAUGGGGAAGCUCCUUAUGGAGCGAAGUCUUUGAUUCCCCGCUGCCAAGAAAAGCUUCUAGCGAGAUAAAAGGUGCCUGUACCGCAAACCGACACAGGUAGGCGAGGAGAGAAUCCUAAGGUGUGCGAGAGAACUCUGGUUAAGGAACUCGGCAAAAUGACCCCGUAACUUCGGGAGAAGGGGUGCUUUCUUAACGGAAAGCCGCAGUGAAUAGGCCCAAGCGACUGUUUAGCAAAAACACAGCUCUCUGCGAAGCCGUAAGGCGAAGUAUAGGGGGUGACACCUGCCCGGUGCUGGAAGGUUAAGGAGAGGGGUUAGCGUAAGCGAAGCUCUGAACUGAAGCCCCAGUAAACGGCGGCCGUAACUAUAACGGUCCUAAGGUAGCGAAAUUCCUUGUCGGGUAAGUUCCGACCCGCACGAAAGGUGUAACGAUUUGGGCACUGUCUCAACCAGAGACUCGGUGAAAUUAUAGUACCUGUGAAGAUGCAGGUUACCCGCGACAGGACGGAAAGACCCCGUGGAGCUUUACUGUAGCCUGAUAUUGAAUUUUGGUACAGUUUGUACAGGAUAGGCGGGAGCCUUUGAAACCGGAGCGCUAGCUUCGGUGGAGGCGCUGGUGGGAUACCGCCCUGACUGUAUUGAAAUUCUAACCUACGGGUCUUAUCGACCCGGGAGACAGUGUCAGGUGGGCAGUUUGACUGGGGCGGUCGCCUCCUAAAGUGUAACGGAGGCGCCCAAAGGUUCCCUCAGAAUGGUUGGAAAUCAUUCGUAGAGUGCAAAGGCAUAAGGGAGCUUGACUGCGAGACCUACAAGUCGAGCAGGGACGAAAGUCGGGCUUAGUGAUCCGGUGGUUCCGCAUGGAAGGGCCAUCGCUCAACGGAUAAAAGCUACCCCGGGGAUAACAGGCUUAUCUCCCCCAAGAGUCCACAUCGACGGGGAGGUUUGGCACCUCGAUGUCGGCUCAUCGCAUCCUGGGGCUGUAGUCGGUCCCAAGGGUUGGGCUGUUCGCCCAUUAAAGCGGUACGCGAGCUGGGUUCAGAACGUCGUGAGACAGUUCGGUCCCUAUCCGUCGUGGGCGUAGGAAAUUUGAGAGGAGCUGUCCUUAGUACGAGAGGACCGGGAUGGACGCACCGCUGGUGUACCAGUUGUUCUGCCAAGGGCAUAGCUGGGUAGCUAUGUGCGGAAGGGAUAAGUGCUGAAAGCAUCUAAGCAUGAAGCCCCCCUCAAGAUGAGAUUUCCCAUAGCGUAAGCUAGUAAGAUCCCUGAAAGAUGAUCAGGUUGAUAGGUUCGAGGUGGAAGCAUGGUGACAUGUGGAGCUGACGAAUACUAAUAGAUCGAGGACUUAACC